Molecule: ribosomal RNA, 902 nt
Filed under: Prevotella melaninogenica
Lineage: Bacteria; Pseudomonadati; Bacteroidota; Bacteroidia; Bacteroidales; Prevotellaceae
Description: bacterial SSU rRNA
Rfam family: Bacterial small subunit ribosomal RNA
Source: RNAcentral
GAUGAACGCUAGCGGCAGGCUUAACACAUGCAAGUCGAGGGCGAUUGAUAUUAGCAAUAGUAUUAAUUGACCGGCGGAAGGGUGCGUAACGCGUGAGUAACAUACCCGUUACAGAGGGAUAGUCGAUGGAAACGUCGUAUAAUACCUCAUAGUAUAGAUUUAUCCCCUGAUAGAUUUAUUAAAUCGUAAGAGGUAACGGAGUGGCUCGCGUCCCAUUAGUUAGUUGGCGUGGUAACGGCACACCAAGACAACGAUGGGUAGGGGUUCUGAGAGGAAGGUCCCCCACACUGGAACUGAGACACGGUCCAGACUCCUACGGGAGGCAGCAGUGAGGAAUAUUGGUCAAUGGGCGGAAGCCUGAACCAGCCAUGCCGCGUGCAGGAAUAGAUCCCUAUGGGACAUAAACUGCUUUUGAUACUGAUCAAGAGCAUAUACGUGUAUAUGAGUGAGAGUAAGUAUCGAAUAAGCAUCGGCUAACUCCGUGCCAGCAUCCGCGGUAAUACGGGGGGAUGCAAGCGUUAUCCAGAAUUAUUGGGUUUAAAGGGCGCAUAGGCUGUGCGGUGCGUCUGUGGUUAAAGGCCUCUGCUUAAUGUGGCGUAUGCCAUAGAAACUGCCGUGCUUGAUAUUGAUUGCCUUGUGAUGGAUUGUGUGGUUGUAGCGGUGAAAUGCUUAUAUGUCACCUGUAACUGCCAAUUGUUAUGGUUUUGACGUGGUUAUAUGCUGAGCCUGUGGUGUGAGUGCUUGUGGAUCGUAUAGUAUGAGAUUGCUUGGGUGUGUCAAGUGUGAGUCUGCUGAUGUGUUAUUCUUAUCGGAUGCCGCCGACCUCAUGGUAAAACACAGAUCUAAAUGUUUUUAUCUGUAUGUGUACUACAAUUUUAAUUAUGCCCCUUGAUGUGUGUGUG